UGGAGCAUUAGCAACUGCAGUCAAAACGCACCGUUGCUUCCUCAGCUCUGAUCCGAGCAGCAACUGUCUGAUUCUGUCUGGGGGAGCUAGGAGACGGCACUGGAGGCAAGUUUAAAAAGGACCUAGUGACACCCUGCUGUCACAUCUGGUUUCAGGGACCUACUUAUUAGUAGUCCAUUUAAAAUCACUUUCCUAGUCCCAUCUGUAGUACACGUUCUUGAGAAGUGGCUGGCUGGUGAGGAAGGAGCACGCUGCUGAAGGCCCCAGCUACUGUUAAGACUGGCAAGAAAAUAUUACUGACAUAUUGGACACUGUAGUCCUCCAGACAACAUUAAUCUAUUGGUGAUUCUGAAGUGAAGAUGUGAUUGGUGCUGUACCAGAAACUGGUGACAU
Long non-coding RNA from Melospiza melodia melodia, 393 nucleotides. RefSeq lists it as uncharacterized. Lineage: Eukaryota; Metazoa; Chordata; Aves; Passeriformes; Passerellidae. The record is from RefSeq and is a predicted model, not a curated record. The transcript is spliced from 3 exons.